UGGGGAAUAUUGGUCAAUGGGGGGAACCCUGAACCAGCAACGCCGCGUGAACGAAGAAGGCCUUCGGGUUGUAAAGUUCUUUGACAGGGGAAGAUAAUGACGGUACCCUGAAAACAAGCUCCGGCUAACUACGUGCCAGCAGCCGCGGUAAUACGUAGGGAGCGAGCGUUAUCCGGAUUUACUGGGUGUAAAGGGCGCGUAGGCGGGACAGCAAGUCAGUGGUGAAAUAUCGGGGCUCAACCCCGGGGCUGCCAUUGAAACUGUUGUUCUUGAGUGAUGGAGAGGCAGGCGGAAUUCCCGGUGUAGCGGUGGAAUGCGUAGAUAUCGGGAGGAACACCAGUGGCGAAGGCGGCCUGCUGGACAUUAACUGACGCUGAGGCGCGAAAGCGUGGGGAGCAAACAGG
Molecule: ribosomal RNA, 404 nt
Filed under: uncultured bacterium
Lineage: Bacteria
Description: bacterial SSU rRNA
Rfam family: Bacterial small subunit ribosomal RNA
Source: RNAcentral